Molecule: unclassified non-coding RNA, 378 nt
Filed under: uncultured bacterium
Lineage: Bacteria
Description: contains 16S-23S intergenic spacer region
Source: RNAcentral
UCCGGGUUUCGCCCGGCAGUCUCAUUAGAGUGCCCAACUAAAUGUAGCAACUAAUGACAAGGGUUGCGCUCGUUGCGGGACUUAACCCAACAUCUCACGACACGAGCUGACGACAGCCAUGCAGCGCCUGUGUUCUGGCUCCCUUUCGGGCACCCUCGCAUCUCUACGAGGUUCCAGACAUGUCAAGGGUAGGUAAGGUUUUUCGCGUUGCAUCGAAUUAAACCACAUCAUCCACCGCUUGUGCGGGUCCCCGUCAAUUCCUUUGAGUUUUAGCCUUGCGGCCGUACUCCCCAGGCGGGAUGCUUAAUGCGUUAGCUGCGGCACGGACGGAGUCGACACCGCCCACACCUAGCACCCAUCGUUUACAGCGUGGACUAC